Molecule: small nuclear RNA, 104 nt
Organism: Cavia aperea (Brazilian guinea pig)
Lineage: Eukaryota; Metazoa; Chordata; Mammalia; Rodentia; Caviidae
Source: Ensembl
GUGCUCAUUUUGGCAGCACAUAUUCUAACAUUGGAAUGAUAUAGAGAUUAGCAUGGCCCCGGCUCAAGGAUGACAUACAAAUUCAUGAUGUAUUCCAUAUUGGU